UACGAAGGGGGCUAGCGUUGUUCGGAUUCAUUGGGCGUAAAGGGUGCGUAGGUGGCGCGCUAAGUCAGGUGUGAAAUUUCGGAGCUUAACUCCGAAACUGCAUUUGAUACUGGCGUGCUUGAGGACUGGAGAGGAGACUGGAAUUCACGGUGUAGCAGUGAAAUGCGUAGAGAUCGUGAGGAAGACCAGUGGCGAAGGCGGGUCUCUGGACAGUUCCUGACACUGAGACACGAAGGCCAGGGGAGCAAACGGG
Molecule: ribosomal RNA, 253 nt
Filed under: uncultured bacterium
Lineage: Bacteria
Description: partial 16S ribosomal RNA
Rfam family: Bacterial small subunit ribosomal RNA
Source: RNAcentral